AGACCUUGGGGGUGUCUGCCAACUCUGUGCCCAAGGUGACCAGGUGCUGGCGCAGACCGAAGGUACUUGUCACCCAGUUUUCUCCAAGACACCACUACCUGCUAAGAGGCUGAACCUGCUUCCUGAGGAGAUCCUGAAGAAGCAACAUCCUGGCACAGAGUGAUGAGAGCUUGGAGACAAAGCAACAGGAGCAUGACAUUGUUGGGGAUGGGCCUUCCCCUUUAUAAGCUCAGACCUUUAAGUAAACUUUGGGCUUUGAUCAA
Long non-coding RNA from Mus musculus (house mouse), 263 nucleotides. RefSeq annotates it as predicted gene, 41007. The transcript has 2 exons. The record is from RefSeq and is a predicted model, not a curated record. Lineage: Eukaryota; Metazoa; Chordata; Mammalia; Rodentia; Muridae.